CGAGCCCCAAACCGAGCGCUCCUGUUUUAUUGGCCGGUCCGAGGGCAGACACCGGCCCGCCCAUUGAAAGCAGCACACAGAGGGGUGGAGGAUAAGUCAUUCAUCGACCAGAGGAAACAAACGUCUGAAACCCAGGUGCCACUCCGAACCCGAGCUGAUCGAUGAAGGACGGCUCGUCCUGACUGUGGAUCUGAACUUUGAUCCCAGCUUCAAAUGACGUCUCAUCUGCAGCAAGCCAAACAAUGUUGGAUCAGAGGAACAUGUUGUGAAAAUGUGUCUCACUAAUGAAUCCAGACACUUAAAAGAGGAUCUUGUCUUUGAGUCUCUCACUCUGAGUGACGGCUAGAAAGGAAAUUCAGGGCAGAGAGAGAGAGCGAGAGGAUGACAUGCAGCAAAGGACCCAGCCUGGAAGCAAUCUGAGUGCCUGCAGUAAGGACGUUUGCCCUGAUACAUGGUGCGAGCGCUCAACCAGGUGCUACCCCAGCUACUUUGCUUUAAAUCGAUAUAUUGUGUCAAAUUAUUGCUGAUUUUAUUGAUUCUCAUUUAAUUGCAUCAACAGUAGUCCAGAGUCUAUCCGUGGCAGCAGAUGAUGAUGUGAAGAAAGAACAAACUUUUGUCAUACAAAUAUGUGAAAUUUUGUAUAAUUUGAACUUUUUAGGCCUCAAGUUCAGAGGCAAUGUUUCUCUUUCUUUUUUAAUAUUAAAACAUGUUUGGGCUUUUUCACCUUUAUUUCACAGACAAAGGCUGAAGGCAGACAGGAAGGAUGCAAAGGGCCACAGGUUGGAAUUGAGCCAUGGUCGCUGCAACGAGGACUUUUAGCCUUGGUACAAGGUGUACACGAGAAAUGUUUUCUUUGGUGGAUUUCUUAACAAUACAUAGGUAUCAGAAUUCAGAAUCUGUUUCUUUUAUUAUGUUUUGAUUGAGCACACACAUAGAUGAAUGUGCCCACAUGCACCCAUGCAUUUGUCCAGAUUCUUAGUACAACGCAUACCACUCUGUCAGUAAAUAAAAAUGUAACCUUCAUCAUGAUCCUUCCUCAUUCUUAAACCUCAGCAAAAUAUUAUUUUGUAUAUUAUCUUGAAAUGGUUAAUAUUUGUGCUUUCUUUGA
Long non-coding RNA from Larimichthys crocea (large yellow croaker), 1108 nucleotides. RefSeq lists it as uncharacterized. Lineage: Eukaryota; Metazoa; Chordata; Actinopteri; Sciaenidae. The record is from RefSeq and is a predicted model, not a curated record. The transcript is spliced from 3 exons.